Molecule: ribosomal RNA, 254 nt
Filed under: uncultured bacterium
Lineage: Bacteria
Description: partial 16S ribosomal RNA
Rfam family: Bacterial small subunit ribosomal RNA
Source: RNAcentral
UACGUAGGGCGCAAGCGUUGUCCGGAAUCAUUGGGCGUAAAGAGCUCGUAGGCGGCUCAGUAAGUCGGGUGUGAAACCCCCAGGCUCAACCUGGGGACGCCACCCGAUACUGCUGUGGCUAGAGUCCAGUAGGGGAGUGUGGAAUCCCCGGUGUAGCGGUGAAAUGCGCAGAUAUCGGGAGGAACACCAGCGGCGAAGGCGGCACUCUGGGCUGGAACUGACGCUGAGGAGCGAAAGCGUGGGUAGCAAACAGG